This 850-nucleotide ribosomal RNA is filed under the name uncultured bacterium. RNAcentral's name for it is "bacterial SSU rRNA". It matches the Rfam family "Bacterial small subunit ribosomal RNA", at positions 44 to 892 of the family's 1533-position model. The record is from RNAcentral.
GGGAUGUCAACAUGGCAGUGAACGGAGUGGCCAGGACAAACAUUCUCGGUGGGCGGCUUUGGUAACUGAGUGGCGGACGGGUGAGUAACGCGUGGACAACCUGCCGUGUACAGGGGGAUAACAGCCGGAAACGGCUGCUAAUACCGCAUAUGCGCACAGUGCCGCAUGGCACAGGGCGGAAAACGAUAGUGGUACACGAUGGGUCCGCGUCUGAUUAGAUAGUUGGCGGGGUAACGGCCCACCAAGUCGACGAUCAGUAGCCGGCCUGAGAGGGCGGACGGCCACACUGGGACUGAGACACGGCCCAGACUCCUGCGGGAGGCAGCAGUGGGGAAUAUUGCACAAUGGGGGGAACCCUGAUGCAGCGACGCCGCGUGAAGGAAGAAGUAUUUCGGUAUGUAAACUUCUAUCAGCAGGGAAGAAAAAGGACGGUACCUGACUAAGAAGCCCCGGCUAACUACGUGCCAGCAGCCGCGGUAAUACGUAGGGGGCGAGCGUUAUCCGGAUUUACUGGGUGUAAAGGGGGCGCAGACGGCCAUGGCAAGCCCGGUGUGAAAGGUGCGGGCACAACCCGCAGACUGCACUGGUAACUGCCUGGCUGGAGUGCCGGAGGGGUAAGCGGAAUUCCUGGUGUAGCGGUGAAAUGCGUAGAUAUCANGAGGAACACCGGUGGCGAAGGCGGCUUACUGGACGGCAACUGACGUUGAGGCCCGAAAGCGUGGGGAACGAACAGGAUUAGAUACCCUGGUAGUCCACGCCCUAAACGAUGUAUACCAGGUGUCGGAAGUCAAAGGCAUUCGGUGCCGAAGCCAACGCAUUUAGUAUAACACCUGGGGAAUACGUUCGCAAG